GAUGAAGAACGUAGCGAAAUGCGAUAAGUAAUGUGAAUUGCAGAAUUCAGUGAAUCAUCGAAUCUUUGAACGCACCUUGCACCCUUUGGCAUUCCGAAGGGUAUGCUCGUUUGAGUGUCAUUGUACUCUCACUCUCCCGAUGCUUUUGGAUCGGGAGUGGUGGACUUGGGUGUUGCUGCUUUGCUGUGGCUCGCCUCAAAUGGAGUAGUGCAACUCUUGGUUGGACAUAGUACGGCGUGAUAAGUGUCUUCGCCGGCGCCUCAUUAUAGAGGGUGGCCGAUCGGGAGCUCUGUGCUUCAAACCGUCUUCGGACAACAUCUGACAAAUUGACCUCAAAUCGAGUAGGACUACCCGCUGAACUUAAGCAUAUCAAUAAGCGGAGGA
This 384-nucleotide unclassified non-coding RNA is filed under the name soil metagenome. RNAcentral describes it as "partial contains 5.8S ribosomal RNA, internal transcribed spacer 2, and large subunit ribosomal RNA". The stretch from base 1 to 120 matches the Rfam family "5.8S ribosomal RNA", at positions 35 to 154 of the family's 154-position model. The record is from RNAcentral.